UGUAGUUGCAUGUCAGCACUCGUUAUUAUUAUCGUCACGUUUGUCUUGUUAGUAUGUUUAGUGUUCUUCAUGGUCAUUAAAUAAUGUAUUGGUCUCAUUGGUCUCAUCGUUACGAUGAACGUGACAAUGGGUGUGUGGUACCCUUCCUCACCAUGCCAACAAGAUGUUACUUCUUGUGGGGUCUUUGCCUUGGAAUUUGCUGAAUGUGUUCUGAAGGAGGAGUCGAUUUGUCUUUUUCAAAUGGGGACAAAAAUGUUAACAUGAGAGAGGAAAUGGCAGUCACACUCCUCAAACACUGAAACCUAUACUAUUCCUUUGUUUCCUGUUUGUGCUGAAAAAUACAUGUAAAGAUGUAGAGACUACUAGACAUUAUGACAUUGCUAGAUGACCUGAGCCAACUGUGCCACUGUGGGGAGAUGGACAAUGAAGACACUAACUUGAUUGGUUGUGUCCGCUGCCCACGAUGGUUCCAACAGUCCUGUAUGACCCAUCCCACCAUUGGAGGAUAAUGUCUGCGCUACCUGUCAGGACUAGGUUAGGCCUGAGUUCCAUAAAUAUAGAGAUGAAACUUUCCAUAAAAAUUGGACUAAAUGUUCAGUUGAGCUGUUGCAGCUUUUCAAUAUUUGUUUAUGCUAUUUGUCAUUUAAAAUCUUAUUAUGCAAAGAUUGAAAUUUGUAUUUUAUAUUUAAUGUUUGUUAUCAAACUUAAUUUUCUGUGUUAUUGUGUGGUUUGUAUUAUAUUUCUUAAACACUAUUUCAGAAACAUUUUGUUUAUACUCUAAUUUUGCUUUCUGUGGCACACUACUGGCAAAAAUUAUUCUGAAAUGUGCCAGGCCUUGCAGUCCCAAGAUGGAAGGGGGGGUAUUUCGGCAGUCAAGAAAAUUGCCUUGCCGAGAUCCCUUUCUCCAAUGAAACUCUGACGUACAGUACCAGUCAAUGUAGCCACCCUUUUCCUUGACAGCUUUGCACACUUGGCAUUCUCACAACCAACUUCAUCUGGAAUGCUUUUCCAACAGUCUUGACGGAGUUCCCACAUGCUGAGCACUUGUUCGUUGCUUUUCCUUCACCCUGCGGUCCAACUCGUCCAAAUCCAUCUCAAUUGCAUUGGUCGGGUGAUUGUGGAGGCCAUGUCAUCUGAUGCAGCACUCCAUCAAUCUCCUUGUUGGUAAAAUAGACAUUACACAGCAUGGAGGUGUGUUGGGUCAUUGUCCUGUUGAAAAACAAUGGGUUGGCGUAUUGCUGCAGCAGACAUGAAUUCUAAAUAAAUUACUGACAGUGUCACCAGCAAAGCACCCCCACAUCACACUUCCUCAUCCAUGCUUCGUGGUGGGAACCUCACAUGCGGAGCUCAUCCGUUCACCUAUGCUGCGUCUCAAAGACACAGCGGUUGGAACCAUAAAUCUUAAAAGGACAGAUUUCCACCGGUCUAAUGUCCAUUGUUUGUGUUUCUUGGCCCAAGCAAGGUUAUUAUUAUUGGUGUCCUUUUAGUAAUAGUUUCUUUGCAGCAAUUUGACCAUGAGCACGCAGUUGAUGUUGAGAUGUGAACUCUGACGCAUUUAUUUCUCGGCUUUAAUUUCAUUUGUUCCCUCAGUCUGGUGAACACGACAUCCAACUUCUCACAGUGCUCAUCGAAACCCUUUGAAAAAACAAUAUCAUCCGGCUACACUAGCAGAGUCAAGGGCCAGGUCUUCCAAGCACCACCUUCAUGAGGCACUGGAAUGUGUUCGGCGCAUUGCAUUACCCGACGGGCAUACGGGUCCACUUGAACUGGCCAAAGGGAGUGGUCACAGCAGUCUUCAUUUGAUCCUCACUCACCUUAACCUGGAAGUAUCCAACGUCGAGAAGAUGCAGGAGUUGCCCAAAGCAUCUAGGAACUCCUCCACAUGGGGAAGGGGGUAAGCAUCCUUGCAGGUCACCUGACUCGACCUCCUAUAAUCGCAACACGAGUACACGACCAUUCUUGAUGAAGAUGACUGCUAGCGAAUCCUGCUGACUGCAACUUCCCUUCAGUGUUCCUUGUGACACCAAGUUGAACACCUGUUUUACUUUCUGGAGAACUUGAGGUGAGAUCCAUCUAUGUCGUUGUUUAAUUGGCUCCGUAAAUCUCCCGUUGGUAUACAAUGUGUCACCACUGUUGCAUGGCCAGCGUAAUUUUCGGUCUUGGAGAAUACAUCCUUGUGCUCUUCCAACAUCGCCCUCCAGGUUCACUCCAAUUGACACAGGUAAGACGUCAGCCUUUACCUUGGUUACGUCAGUUUCAACCUUGUUCAGCACCUGGAUGUGCAGGGCAUUAUCUUCUACCUCAAUGGUAAUUGGCUCUUUCAAAUGAACCUCUAGGGGUUUGCAAAUUUCAGCCAGUCUAAUCUGGGGCAGCAGCCUAACAGUCUUGUCUGUAGCAUUGAGCAGUCUCACAUGCACCUCGCCCUCAUGGGUGUGGGUAAGAACAUUGGCCAACAGGACUCCAUUUGGCAGGUUCGCCCCAGCCAUCAUCCCUACCAAAACCUGCCACUUCUGCGUCGCAGGAACUCUGUAUCGACCCUCAACGAUCUUCUCACUGUACGGAGGGAUUGUGACUUUCCGCUACCUUUAUAAAGCCAAUCCUACCUGUUGGAGCAACAUAACUGGUCUGCCUCUCAAUUUUUGCCAUGAUGGCCUUCAGCAUUGCUUUCUCUCGAGCCAGUUGAUGGCGAUCUAAUUGUCACCCCUUCCUGGUAAGAGACGAGGAGUCCUUGAAGGUCGCUGAGGACAUUCAUUCCCACGAUGCCGGGUACCCCUUGUUUCUUCAUUCUCAGACGGAGGAUCCUUCAAGAUUAAGACACUUCCCAAGGAGGGUUCUUCCCAUGCACUCAAUGUUUGUCUCCAGACAGCCUAUAACAGGAAUCUCCAGCCCGUUGGCGGCAGGGAGACGCACUCAAUUUGCACACAAGUUCUGGAUCACCAUCCCCAACGUGCUUCUUAAAGUGUGUCUCAGUAAUAGUGGUGACCUCUGACUCCGUAUCAAGUAAACACCUCGCCUAGACUCCAGCGAUUGCCACGUCAACUAUCAGACAGUUACCAAAAGCUUUAGAAUUCUGACUAGCCUGGGUUUCUUUCAAAGAGUUGCAAACAGCUGACUGACUACUGAUGGUUGAUGGUCUUCUCUCAUCCUGGUCAUCAGUGUCUGUUGGCCCAACAUGGCAUGGUCCUCCCAGUAGUCUCUAACUGAACCCCCACCGAGAUAUAUCUACCAUUGUCUUAGUGGAUUUCUCCUGCGUGGGACCUGAUCAUCUUGGGGGGGUUCGCCCUCUCUUGGUCUGGCAAACGUCCUGAACCAGAUCUUCGCGACGAGCAGCUAUCUUCUGAAUUGCUUCUUGGAGCCUCUCUAUGGUUAUAGAAGAUGACUGCGUUACUGCCGCAGCUGCACUCGCUGUGCCUCGUAUUUUGUUGCUGUUCAAUGCUGGGGUUAGAGCGUGGUUCUCCUCCACCUCUGACCAAGUGAUGGCAGCAUUCAUCACAUAAAUGAAGGACAUUUUCUUCUCGUUCAGGACUGUCUUUUUCAUCUCCCGAUGCAAGGCGUCAUCCCGGAAUCCCAACACCAGCUGUAUUUCCUCAGUUUGAGGUUUCUUUCUCACUCUAACUUUGUUUGCAGGUCAUGCAUAAGCCCAAAUGGUUUUGCCAGCUUCUUGUAGAAGAUGUUGCCAGCAUUUUUACACUAACAUCAGCUUCACAAUUGCACUGGCCUCUCCUCCUUUCAGGUGUUGUUUGAUUAGCUCAACCCAAUCACUCACUGGCACACGUGAAACCCGACUGGUCAACUUUACUAGAGCAAUCCAUUCCUAAACAGCACACUGAAGUCAGGUAGCUUUCAUUCUCAAGGAAUGUACACAGUUGGUGCAGAAACCUUCUUUUGCUGCUCGAUUACAGCAUAUGUGCCAGCGGCAUAGCUUCUCGCUGAUCUUCACGGGUCUGCUGCAGUGCUCCACAUUGCAACAGCAAUCUCAACUUUUUAAAAAUCUUCCAUCUCUAACCUAGCCUCAGACCCCUCUUCCAUUUUUCAACAAGGAAAAACAGUUUGAUUUAUAUUUUUGUGACGACAAAUGUAACGGGUAGGAAACGCCUGUUUUUCUCAGCUCAGCCUUGGAAGGUUGAACGUCAAACAGAGCGGUGUCCCUGUUUCCCAACCCAUUUAACCUCACGACAGUACUUACUAGUAAUGGCACCUUUCCUGAUAGUCUGAGUUAUUUUUGUCCUAUACUAUGUGCUUAAUCCUCCUGUUGUGUUCGUUUCAUGUUAAUUCAUUCUGUUUCUGGUCCAAAAUGACCGCCCCAUUAUAACUGAUUAUAAAUACAUAUAUUAUCACCUAAUGUUGUGUUAAAUCUUUUUAUCAACUUAAGUUCUUAUGAACAUUACAAGUUUUGAAUAUCUAUUUGUUAUUUAUGGCCUGUAGGUGUCAUUGACCUGAGCUCAUACAAGUUGUUUUUGAGUUUAAAAAAAAGCAUAAUGUAUGUAUUAUUUUGACUAUAACAAAUACUCAGCUUAAACAUUGUGCUAUUUAUCAGACUACUUUGUGUCAGUUUAACAAGGACAUUUGUUUUGAAACCAUAAUAGUGGCACAAAAUAACAUCUGUGUUCCCGGUCACAACUGAUCGGUAUGAUUUUAUUAGUAAAGAAACGACAGGCCCAAAACUACACACGAACACUUUACCAUGUUACCAAAUUAAUGUCUGAACACAUUAAAGAACAAUAACAAACAUUACUGUUCACAAUAUCUUCACAAUAUGUUUUCUGAUUGCAGUCGUUGUACUCAUAAUAUACAGG
Molecule: long non-coding RNA, 4796 nt
Organism: Oncorhynchus tshawytscha (Chinook salmon)
Lineage: Eukaryota; Metazoa; Chordata; Actinopteri; Salmoniformes; Salmonidae
Source: Ensembl